Molecule: long non-coding RNA, 424 nt
Filed under: Rattus norvegicus (Norway rat)
Lineage: Eukaryota; Metazoa; Chordata; Mammalia; Rodentia; Muridae
Description: long non-coding RNA NONRATT000838
Source: RNAcentral
CUCCGGUCUAACUUGUGGAGUUGGACCUCUGGAAAGAGGAAGCUGAGGAGGAGAGACGACAGCUACAUUUCCGCUGGGCCUCCAUGCUGUGGGUAGCCCGUGGCUGACAAGCGAGACUGAGGCAAGGAACCGAAGGUUUGCACAAGCUUUGGGCUUUCACUUCCUCUUCUCUGAGGAUAGCCAGGAGCACCUUACCUCUAAGUCUGCUGUGCGAACAACAGGAGGAAGCCAACGGGUUUGGCUACCAGAAAUGCCCUCGUAGCCAGACCCCACGGGAUGGAGGGCUUCAUGGACUCAGGGACACAGACGGAUGCUGUGGUGGUGCUGUCCUUGGCUCAGGCUGCUGUGCUGGGCCUGGUCUCAGAAAAUGAGCUCUUUGGAGCCACCAUAAGUGCAGAGGCCUUUUACCCAGACCUGGGGCCAG